Long non-coding RNA from Lolium rigidum, 579 nucleotides. RefSeq lists it as uncharacterized. NCBI's taxonomy places the organism in Eukaryota, Viridiplantae, Streptophyta, Magnoliopsida, Poales, Poaceae. The transcript is spliced from 3 exons. The record is from RefSeq and is a predicted model, not a curated record.
CACAUGGGUUCUGUGGAAGACCAUUGAAACUCAAAACAUUCUUGGGCGACCUCCGACCAAGGCAGAUGGCGCUAUAAUGGGAUAUUCUCAGGAUACUGAUGAUUUAUUUAUAUACCUGGAACCCGAUGCAUAUAUGCUUCACCUUAAGUCGAUGCAAUCGAAGAUACUUCCUGGAAGCUAUGAUCCUAUCUUUAAGUACCAUCCCUUCACGAGUUUCUACUGUACACCAGGCACAACCAUUGGUGGAUGUGAUGAAGCUGACAUGCUGCAAAAAUCCAUAGGACGACUGUCUAGUUUGGAGGGCUAAUCUGCUAUAAUGCUUCAACAGGUGAAACAAGGGCUGCUGCAGUUGUCCGUUGUCACUUAGUUUGCCUCAUCAAACUCAUCGUAUCAAUUUGGUAGGUGGUGUUUUGUGUCUGUGCGCUAUCUAAAAACAUACUGAAUCCAUGGCUUAGUCCAGCCAAGGUUGUAAUGUAGCCAGAUGCUUUUGAAUCUGUGGCUUCGUCUAGUCAAGUUUCUAAUGUAGCAAGAUGCUUUUGAAUACCUAAUCUAGGGAAUUCAGCUUCCCAGAGUAUCUUU